AACGAUGACCACUUCGGUGGGGAUUAGUGGCGAACGGGUGAGUAACACGUGGGCAAUCUGCCCUUCACUCUGGGACAAGCCCUGGAAACGGGGUCUAAUACCGGAUAACACUCCUGUCCUCCUGGACGGGGGUUAAAAGCUCCGGCGGUGAAGGAUGAGCCCGCGGCCUAUCAGCUUGUUGGUGAGGUAAUGGCUCACCAAGGCGACGACGGGUAGCCGGCCUGAGAGGGCGACCGGCCACACUGGGACUGAGACACGGCCCAGACUCCUACGGGAGGCAGCAGUGGGGAAUAUUGCACAAUGGGCGAAAGCCUGAUGCAGCGACGCCGCGUGAGGGAUGACGGCCUUCGGGUUGUAAACCUCUUUCAGCAGGGAAGAAGCGAAAGUGACGGUACCUGCAGAAGAAGCGCCGGCUAACUACGUGCCAGCAGCCGCGGUAAUACGUAGGGCGCAAGCGUUG
RNAcentral lists this ribosomal RNA (460 nucleotides) under Streptomyces sp. PC4029. Its description in RNAcentral is "bacterial SSU rRNA". It matches the Rfam family "Bacterial small subunit ribosomal RNA", at positions 65 to 543 of the family's 1533-position model. The record is from RNAcentral. Lineage: Bacteria; Bacillati; Actinomycetota; Actinomycetes; Kitasatosporales; Streptomycetaceae.